Small nucleolar RNA from Perognathus longimembris pacificus (Pacific pocket mouse), 131 nucleotides. RefSeq annotates it as small nucleolar RNA SNORA33. The record is from RefSeq and is a predicted model, not a curated record. Lineage: Eukaryota; Metazoa; Chordata; Mammalia; Rodentia; Heteromyidae. The transcript has a single exon.
AAGUCACCCACUUAGUCUGCUUAUCUAAAUGUGCAAAUGCAGAGAUUUAGAUAUGGCUGGCAAAGAUUGUGCCAGGUUCUGAGCCUUAAGGACAAUCAAAGUCAUUAAGGUCCCUGAGAAUGGCUACAAUG